Molecule: long non-coding RNA, 1425 nt
Filed under: Homo sapiens (human)
Lineage: Eukaryota; Metazoa; Chordata; Mammalia; Primates; Hominidae
Description: HSALNT0375314
Source: RNAcentral
GGCGAGAGCGAGCGAAUGGGGAGAGGAGCGGGGAGCAGGAGGGGACGCAGGGGAGAGGGGACUGGGGAGCGGCGAGAGGAGGACGGGAGACGCGGCUCCACCUCCCAGCUCAAAACGGCGUCCCAGCUGCUCGCAAACCAACUGCUCGAUUCUAUUCACUGUCGAGUAGGAACAAAAAAGUGGCUAUUUAUUAGAAUACUUGUUUGGUAUUGUUCCGCGCCACACAAAAGGCGUUUCAUUAUGUGGAGGGAUCUCCUUUUUCCAGAGAGAAACAAUAACUUGAAAUUGUCUUUAAAGUCUUUUCUAUCAAUAAUAAAUUUCAUUUUCUUGUCUCUCUCGCCUGCAGUGUGUGUGCGCGCGCGCGAGGCGAGGAGAGAGGCGCGUGUGCGAGUGAGUGUGCUAGCGGGGGUGCGCGUGUGAGUGUGCGCGUGUGUGUGCGUGCGCGUGGCACCGGCGCCCGCGGCUACGGGGCUGGCGCUGCCGGAGCCGGGCCGGACCGGGGUCCGAGAUCUGCGUCGCGCUGGGCACGCUGGCCACCCGGUCCGGAAUGAGUCGGGGCUCCGGGAGGUGCCCGUGGGCAGAGCGUUAGGGGCGCGGCCGUGCCGGACCCGCCCUGGGGACCCGCUGGAGCUGGAGGAGGAACUAACUGUAAGUGUGUCUCGAACUUGCGCGGGGGCUUCAGCCCGCCCGGGGCUGCGGAGCUGGCCGGUAAAGGCUCUCGGGAGAGGGGCGCGGUGUCUCCACGGUGACUUUCCGUGAAGGAGGAUGGGGUGUCUCCGCAGCUUUGGGGCCCCAGGAAAGAACAGAUGGCUUGGCAUCUUCUUCCGAGCAAGCGCAGCUCUCAGGCCGGGCCUGAGCCUGCAGCCUGUGUGCCCUCCAUCAUCAGGGCCCCCUCUCAGGACAGGCUACACCGAGGGUGGGACGGCGGACUUCCAGGGACACUUCCAAGUCGUGCCCAUGCAGAUACCUCAGUAUACACUGCCCACAGUUAAGAAACCACGACCUGAGACAUUGUUUUGAAGAGGUGAAAAUGCCUCCACUCAAGUGGCCCAGGAGCGUGAUCCAGGAAGACGAACACACAGAACCAUCUUCUGCAUGGUUUGAAAAUUCAGUGGAAACUAGGACUCCAAGCUGCUGUCCCCUCUCUGCCGCAUCUGAGGCUGGGAAAACUUCCUAGGAGAAGGCAAGAGAAAGCCACCAGACCAGAGCCGAGGACUAAACUUUAAGGUCGAAGACGGCAGAGGGGCAGGUUCUCCCCUGCACACCCCAAGGCCUCUCCUGCACCCGCGAGGCCUUCCUUGAGCGCCCAGGCCCCCGAAAUGCCUGCCCUCCUUCUGACAAAAGGAGGGGGUAGGAUGUGAAGGGGUAGUGCAACCAACAAUGUUUUUGUAAACACAACAACAGGGAAAUACAUGGAGGAAAUCU